GAUGAACGCUGACAGAAUGCUUAACACAUGCAAGUCAACUUGAAUUUGGGUUUUUUAACUUCGAUUUGGGUGGCGGACGGGUGAGUAACGCGUAAAGAACUUGCCUCACAGCUAGGGACAACAUUUGGAAACGAAUGCUAAUACCUGAUAUUAUGAUUAUAAGGCAUCUUAGAAUUAUGAAAGCUAUAUGCGCUGUGAGAGAGCUUUGCGUCCCAUUAGCUAGUUGGAGAGGUAACGGCUCACCAAGGCGAUGAUGGGUAGCCGGCCUGAGAGGGUGAACGGCCACAAGGGGACUGAGACACGGCCCUUACUCCUACGGGAGGCAGCAGUGGGGAAUAUUGGACAAUGGACCAAGAGUCUGAUCCAGCAAUUCUGUGUGCACGAUGACGUUUUUCGGAAUGUAAAGUGCUUUCAGUUGGGAAGAAAAAAAUGACGGUACCAACAGAAGAAGUGACGGCUAAAUACGUG
This 468-nucleotide ribosomal RNA is filed under the name uncultured bacterium. Its description in RNAcentral is "partial 16S ribosomal RNA". It matches the Rfam family "Bacterial small subunit ribosomal RNA", at positions 28 to 507 of the family's 1533-position model. The record is from RNAcentral.